This 253-nucleotide unclassified non-coding RNA is filed under the name uncultured Cyclobacteriaceae bacterium. Its description in RNAcentral is "contains 16S-23S intergenic spacer region". It matches the Rfam family "Bacterial small subunit ribosomal RNA", at positions 524 to 776 of the family's 1533-position model. Lineage: Bacteria; Pseudomonadati; Bacteroidota; Cytophagia; Cytophagales; Cyclobacteriaceae. The record is from RNAcentral.
UACGGAGGGUGCAAGCGUUGUCCGGAUUUAUUGGGUUUAAAGGGUACGUAGGCGGAAUGCUAAGUCCGAGGUGAAAGCCCACCGCUCAACGGUGGAAUUGCCUUGGAUACUGGUAAUCUUGAGUGCCGUAGAAGUAGGCGGAAUUCAUGGUGUAGCGGUGAAAUGCAUAGAUACCAUGAGGAACACCGAUAGGGAAGCCAGCUUACUGGACGGUGACUGACGCUGAGGUACGAAAGCGUGGGGAGCGAACAGG